UUGUUGUGAGUGAGUUGUUCGUUUGUCUACUCCGUCUGUCUGUGUCUAUGUAUGAGUGAGUGAGAUUGGUUGAGUUUUAUCAUCUUCAUGAGUGUAGUAGUGUGGCCUCAGCUGUAUAGCUAUCCCGUGGCCACAAGUCCCAUGUUUUGGGUUGAGGCUAGGGAUAGUGGCAGUUAGACAUUUACAUCACCGCCACCACCAUUUUGGACUUAGUGAAUGUACUGAAGGGUUAUUCGCCCCUGGAUACAGUGGAGAGCUACAUUCCAAGAGGUCAAGGAUUCCUGGACGGUCCUGUGUCGGAAAGGCCUGGAUACCAGUUUUGAGGGAUCUCCUCACUGAUCUUCCGCUAAAGCUUCACACUAGCCACAGCAUUCUCUUACAGGAGAAGGAACCAAGGGCAUUUUUUAGGACCUUUGAGCUGAACCUUGGCUGCUGCAUAUUGAGCUCUUUCACCUCUGAGCCCUUCUGGAAGCCCGCUAACACCUCCCCCCAGUCCAAGUUCAUGUCCAUUUAUGAUGACUCCCAAGAUGUCACGAGAGGAAGUGUGGAAAAACCCAAGGAAAACAUUUACAAAGAGAUGAAAAGUCUUAUAUGCACUGACUUCUGCCCUC
Molecule: non-coding RNA, 611 nt
Organism: Pelodiscus sinensis (Chinese soft-shelled turtle)
Lineage: Eukaryota; Metazoa; Chordata; Testudines; Trionychidae
Source: RefSeq, a predicted model, not a curated record